GCAGUACAUAAGCAGCCCUCCCCACCCAGCUCAGCCUCUGCGUGUCAUCAUGCCCUUCUCGGGACACCUCUGGACAUCCGUCUGGCAGGAAGCGUCUCCUUGUCACAGCCCCAUUUCCUCGCGCUCAAGUCGGGAUCUGAGGCUCAAUCUGGAGUUGACGUGACACUGUUUAUAAUUCCUCGCAGUUCCUCCGGGGUUAUCCGGUCCUCGCCAAGCCCACCUCUUGCCUUUCAUUUCAACUCUGAAAUAUGCACCAGGCAAAUUCCACAAACAUUGACGGAACCCUUGCCAAGGUCCAGAACCAUGUUGAGGAAUUGGUCCACAUUUCCUCAUUUAACCCUACUGUAAUCCUCAGAGGCCACUUUAUCAUUUCCAUUUUAUAGAAAUCCAGAGGAGUGAAGAGGACUGUUCCAGGCAACUUGGCUAAUAAAUAAAAUUAUUACGCCUGCAAUUUAUUGGGCAUCUACGA
This is a long non-coding RNA of Homo sapiens (human), 469 nucleotides long. RefSeq lists it as uncharacterized. The record is from RefSeq and is a predicted model, not a curated record. NCBI's taxonomy places the organism in Eukaryota, Metazoa, Chordata, Mammalia, Primates, Hominidae. The transcript has 2 exons.